RNAcentral lists this long non-coding RNA (1277 nucleotides) under Mytilus galloprovincialis (Mediterranean mussel). Lineage: Eukaryota; Metazoa; Mollusca; Bivalvia; Mytilida; Mytilidae. The record is from RNAcentral.
UGUCGCGUAUUUUAAUUUCCGGAUCUGCGCAGAACACAUAACUCUACUUCCUUCUUCCGGUCUUGUUGUCGUGAGACUUUGAUUAGUCUAGUAAAAUAUAGGAACUCAAGGAACACAAUACCAAUAUUUCAUUUUUAAUCAUUCUUUGUCUUUGGUAAUAUGAGGCAGGCAUAACCUGUGAAUGGGGACGAAGUCUGUAUGUAUUGUUUUUUAACUUCAAACAUGUUAAUAAAGGACACGGAAAUACCGUAACGUUCCCGAUUUUGGUUCUGUUGUAAGGGGUUUAGCUGUGACGUUUCUUAAGUUAUGACGUCAUAUUCAAUGUAAACAAAAGAAACGCUUCCAUCAGGUAACGUUUUUUUCAAAUCAAACAAUUAUUAAAAAUGAAACUGUAUUGAGUUCCAAUCUUAUAUUUUACAAGACUGAUAAAUAUAAUUUUUUUUCAAAGUCUCAUGCAAACAAGACAGAUUUCUGCGCAAAUGCGUGGGAAACCGGAACAGGAACUAGAUCUGAAAAAAAAAGUUAACGAUUUUGAGUUCAUUAGUAGAAUGAAAAAUUCGGGAAAUUUUCCCGAUUUUUUUAAAAAAAAAUUUUAUUGAUUUUUCUACCGUAAUUGGGGACUUCGUCCCCAUAUGAAUAAACGUUACCUGAUGCAUUGCGUUUCUUUGUUUACAUUGAACAUGACGUCAUAACUUAAAUAACGUCACAAGUAAAAUCCCUAACAACAGAACCAAAAUCGGAAACGUUAUGGUAUUUCCGUUUCUUUUUUUAACAAAUAUUUAAGUUACAAAAAUUAAUUUAAACAAACUUCGUCCCCAUUCACAGGUAAUGCCUGCCUCAUAUUAUGGGGACGAAGUCCCCUAUAACAGUAGAAAAUUCAAUAAAAAAAAAAAAAAAAAAAAAAAAUCGGGAAAAUUUCCCGAAUUUUUCAUUGUACUAAUGAACUCAAAAUCGUUCAAUUUUUUUUUGUCGCGUUUUUUAAUUUCCGGAUCUGCGCAGAACACAUAACUCUACUUCCUUCUUCCGGUCUUGUUGUAAUGAGACUUUGAUUAGUCUAGUAAAAUAUAGGAACUCAAGGAACACAAUACCAAUAUUUCAUUUUUAAUCAUUCUUUGUCUUUGGUAUGAAUAAACGUUACCUGAUGCAUUGCGUUUCUUUGUUUACAUUGAACAUGACGUCAUAACUUAAAUAACGUUACAAGUAAAAUCCCUAACAACAGAACCAAAAUCGGAAACGUUACGGUAUUUCCGUUUCUUUAUUUUAACAAAUAUUUAAGU